ACGCUGGCGGCGUGCUUCAUACGAUGCAAGUCGAACGAGAAGCUAGCUUCGGUUAGUGGAAAGUGGCGGACGGGUGAGUAACGCGUGGGCAAUCUGCCUCUUACAGGGGGGAUAACACAGGGAAACCUGUGCUAAUACCGCAUAACACUUUAGUACCGCAUGGUACAGAAGUCAAAGCUUUAUGUGCUGAGAGAUGGUCUCGCGUCUGAUUAGCUAGAUGGCGGGGUAACGGCCCACCAUGGCGACGAUCAGUAGCCGGUCUGAGAGGUUGAUCGGCCACAUUGGGACUGAGACACGGCCCAGACUCCUACGGGAGGCAGCAGUGGGGGAUAUUGCACAAUGGGGGAAACCCUGAUGCAGCAACGCCGCGUGAAGGAAGAAGGUCUUCGGAUUGUAAACUCUUGUCUUUAGGGAAGAAGAAAGUGACGGUACCUAAGGAGGAAGCCACGGCUAACUACGUG
RNAcentral lists this ribosomal RNA (461 nucleotides) under uncultured bacterium. Its description in RNAcentral is "bacterial SSU rRNA". It matches the Rfam family "Bacterial small subunit ribosomal RNA", at positions 33 to 507 of the family's 1533-position model. The record is from RNAcentral.